CUCCCUGAUACCGUGGGAAUUAGGGAGUUAUCUACUAAGCGGCUGCAAAAUGCAGCCACAGCAAUGAAUAGGAUCAGAGUUUCAUUCAUUAGAAUGAAAUUCCGAUCCGAAUAAAAUGCCGAAUUGCGUUCUAAAAGAAACGAACAGACUGUUGUCAUUCAGUUAGAACGCAAUUCGGCAGUUUUGUGUAAAGUGACAGGAAGCAUUGUGGGAACACUGAGGAAAGCUAGGGAUCAUGGGAAAAUUGCUCUGACCAGCGGAAAUGAAGCACACUUUGCUCCUCCGCUGGUCAGAGCUGGUCAAGCGGAGGAAUCCUCCAUAAGGCAAAGAGUCCCUACUUUGUCUUAUGAUUUUAAAGAAAACUAAAGAAGACUGGAAGAAAAGAAUAACAGAUCCUGAGAGAGGGGGAGAAGAGGAAGAGAUUGAGGAAAGGUAAGUUCGGCAUGACAGUGCUGCUUUAA
This 461-nucleotide long non-coding RNA is filed under the name Pelobates cultripes (western spadefoot toad). The record is from RNAcentral. Lineage: Eukaryota; Metazoa; Chordata; Amphibia; Anura; Pelobatidae.